This 254-nucleotide ribosomal RNA is filed under the name uncultured bacterium. RNAcentral describes it as "partial 16S ribosomal RNA". It matches the Rfam family "Bacterial small subunit ribosomal RNA", at positions 524 to 776 of the family's 1533-position model. The record is from RNAcentral.
UACGGAAGGGGCGAGCGUUGUUCGGAAUCAUUGGGCGUAAAGGGCGCGUAGGUGGUGCUGUAUGUCUCCCGUGAAAGCCCACGGCUCAACCGUGGUGUGUCGGGAGAAACUGCAGGACUUGAGGCUGGGAGGGGCUGGUGGAAUUCCCUGUGUAGCGGUGAAAUGCGUAGAGAUGGGGGAGAACACUCGUGGCGAAGGCGGCUUCCUGGACCGAUCACUGACGCUGAGGCGCGAAAGCUAGGGGAGCAAACGGG